UAUGAGAAAAUCAAAUUUAGG
RNAcentral lists this non-coding RNA (21 nucleotides) under Caenorhabditis elegans. The record is from RNAcentral. Lineage: Eukaryota; Metazoa; Nematoda; Chromadorea; Rhabditida; Rhabditidae.